This 406-nucleotide long non-coding RNA is filed under the name Vigna radiata. RNAcentral's name for it is "long non-coding RNA (VRAD_LNC013456)". The record is from RNAcentral. Lineage: Eukaryota; Viridiplantae; Streptophyta; Magnoliopsida; Fabales; Fabaceae.
GGCUUUCAUUCUCUUCUCUGUUCCGAUUUGUCUUGCUUCAAGUCAUGCAUCCAACCUAGCCUAGGGUUCUUCAUCUCGCGCAGACAACCUAGGGUUCUUAUUCUUCUUCUUCUCUCUGUUCUGAUUCGCAACAAAGGAGGAAGCUUCCUUCCCUUUUUCAAAUUUCGAUUGAGUUGUUUUCUAUUUGAUUGAUUCUCUGCAGUGGUGGUGAGAGCUCGCCAUCCUCGUUCUUGUAGUGAUUUGGAGUUUGCAUUUCGUCUUAGGGGUUGAUUUUCUGGGUUUCUGAUUCAUUGCAAGAUGAGCCGUGAAGAUUGGAAUUCUCUGUUAGGGUUUACUGUUAUUGUAUUUUGAUGUUGAAAUUAGAAUAUUUGAUUUGGAUUUAUGGGAUUCUUUGAUGAUGGUGGUG